RNAcentral lists this ribosomal RNA (253 nucleotides) under uncultured bacterium. Its description in RNAcentral is "partial 16S ribosomal RNA". It matches the Rfam family "Bacterial small subunit ribosomal RNA", at positions 524 to 776 of the family's 1533-position model. The record is from RNAcentral.
UACGUAGGGGGCAAGCGUUGUCCGGAAUUAUUGGGCGUAAAGCGCGCGCAGGCGGCUUACUAAGUCUGGUGUGAAAGCCCACGGCUCAACCGUGGAGGGCCAUUGGAAACUGGUAAGCUUGAGUGCAGGAGAGGAGAGCGGAAUUCCUGGUGUAGCGGUGAAAUGCGCAGAUAUCGGGAAGAACACCCGUGGCGAAGGCGGCUCUCUGGGACGGUACUGACGCUGAGACGCGAAAGCGUGGGGAGCGAACAGG